Melospiza melodia melodia is the source of this 1127-nucleotide long non-coding RNA. RefSeq lists it as uncharacterized. NCBI's taxonomy places the organism in Eukaryota, Metazoa, Chordata, Aves, Passeriformes, Passerellidae. The transcript is spliced from 2 exons. The record is from RefSeq and is a predicted model, not a curated record.
UCCCCGCGGCGCUGGGAGUCCCGGCGGGCCCUGCUGCUGCUGCUGCUGCUGUGCUGCGGGGCGCCGGCUGCACCUGCCACGGACAUGGCUGGAAAUAGGCUGUUCUAGAGCAGGGAUCAAUGGCCUGUAUUGGGGACCCCAGAGCUGGAUGCAGCAGUGGAGGUGGAAACUUGACAGAGCAGAGGGGCAGAAGUUGGAUUUACCAGAGUGUGGGAGGUAUUGCUGCUGUGCCCCAUCUGAGAUCACUUUUAUUGGUGACUCUCACAAGGCUCUCCUUUGCCCUUUUAUGACAAAAUGAUCUGGUUCCUGUUUCUGGCCUUGGAUGGAAGAAGGAUCACCACAGACAACUUGCUCUGACCAUUUGUCUUGGAGUGGCAAGACCUUGAAUGCUUGUGGAGAGCCUGUGCACAACGUCCUGCCAGAAUUUACAAGCAUAAGACUCGUGUUGUUCUGUAUAAGGGCUUAAGGAAACAUAAUGGAUACCACUGUGUCUGGGCACUAGCAGAACCACUUCAGCAGCUGAAAUUGUCCUCAACCAUAGCAAUCAGAAACAAAGGAACACAAUUCUUAAAAAACAUACUAAUUGCCUUUAAAAAGUGAGCAGACUGCUGUUCAAAACAAAAAAAGUACCUAAAACAGGUACCAAGAACUCAAAUUUUUUCAAUCUAAGUACAAAUUAGCAAUUGUAAAUCAGCCUAAUGUCUAUUUAUUGUCAAAGAAUUUAGUUUAAGUCAACUACAACUCUAAAAUAAUUUUUCAUUAAGAUCUUGAGGAUGAAAUUACCCUUAUGAGACCAAACUGUAAUCUGAGACAAAGGUAGAAAUUUGUUAGAAUGAAAAAAUUAAUACUGUUUCAGUAUUUUGCAGGUUUGCCAGUUACAAUAUAAUAAUAACAAAAUGUAUAAUCUGUUCAUGUGUUUGUAAUUUGAAAUUUUUAAACAAAGGAUGGAAAUCUCUUCAAUUUUAUGGAAACCUCACUAAACUCAAUUAUUUUAACAAAUUUCACUAUAAGUAAUAGUUUUAAUCCCUCAGUGUUUUAAAAUGGAACAAGAAAACAUAAAUCUCUAUAUGCUGAUAGUGUUUCAAGUGUGCAGGAAUGGUUAAAUAAAUGUGUUGGAAAAACUUUAA